ACUCUCUGUACCCUGGCAAGAGGUCCCUGCUUUGUGAUACAGAGGACAAAAUUCUGAAGUUGAUGAAAAACUCCCAUUGAGUUCUACAGUGUCAAGAUUACAAGGUGGUUAAUUCAAGCAGAGAGUCCUUUGGGCCAUAGAAUUCAUUCCCAAACUUAGAGAGUGCGGGUACUACAAAGCAUGGAAUUUACCUGUAACUACUCACGUUUCUCAACCUGGUUUAUAAAAUGCAGACGUUCCCUAAAUUCUAGGGUCACUCAGCUAUUACAGAAGGAAUUUGGUCGGGGUACUCACUGAGAGGUAUGAAGGAACAAUUUUCACUGGAGCUCAUUUCUAAACUGCUGGCUUUGUGUAUACAUUG
Molecule: long non-coding RNA, 361 nt
Filed under: Anser brachyrhynchus (Pink-footed goose)
Lineage: Eukaryota; Metazoa; Chordata; Aves; Anseriformes; Anatidae
Description: lncRNA (ENSABRG00000000438.1)
Source: RNAcentral